UNGNNGUUUNUGNNNNNNNCUCAGGAUGAACGCUGGCGGCGUGCCUAAUACAUGCAAGUCGAACGCUUUGUCUUUAAUUGAUCUGACGAGCUUGCUCUGAAGUGAUUUUAUCUGACAAAGAGUGGCGAACGGGUGAGUAACACGUGGGUAACCUACCUCUUAGCAGGGGAUAACAUUUGGAAACAAGUGCUAAUACCGUAUAAUACCAACAACCGCAUGGUUGUUGGUUGAAAGAUGGUUCUGCUAUCACUAAGAGAUGGACCCGCGGUGCAUUAGCUAGUUGGUAAGGUAAUGGCUUACCAAGGCAAUGAUGCAUAGCCGAGUUGAGAGACUGAUCGGCCACAAUGGGACUGAGACACGGCCCAUACUCCUACGGGAGGCAGCAGUAGGGAAUCUUCCACAAUGGGCGCAAGCCUGAUGGAGCAACGCCGCGUGUGUGAUGAAGGGUUUCGGCUCGUAAAACACUGUUAUAAGAGAAGAACGGCACUGAGAGUAACUGUUCAGUGUGUGACGGUAUCUUACCAGAAAGGAACGGCUAAAUACGUGCCAGCAGCCGCGGUAAUACGUAUGUUCCAAGCGUUAUCCGGAUUUAUUGGGCGUAAAGCGAGCGCAGACGGUUAUUUAAGUCUGAAGUGAAAGCCCUCAGCUCAACUGAGGAAUGGCUUUGGAAACUGGAUGACUUGAGUGCAGUAGAGGAAAGUGGAACUCCAUGUGUAGCGGUGAAAUGCGUAGAUAUAUGGAAGAACACCAGUGGCGAAGGCGGCUUUCUGGACUGUAACUGACGUGNGNUCG
This 792-nucleotide ribosomal RNA is filed under the name Weissella paramesenteroides. RNAcentral describes it as "bacterial SSU rRNA". It matches the Rfam family "Bacterial small subunit ribosomal RNA", at positions 1 to 755 of the family's 1533-position model. Lineage: Bacteria; Bacillati; Bacillota; Bacilli; Lactobacillales; Lactobacillaceae. The record is from RNAcentral.